Molecule: long non-coding RNA, 372 nt
Organism: Rosa chinensis
Lineage: Eukaryota; Viridiplantae; Streptophyta; Magnoliopsida; Rosales; Rosaceae
Exons: 2
Source: RefSeq, a predicted model, not a curated record
CCGCUCCGGGGACCUCCACAGCUCCAUAGCUCCAUGGUGACACGAAUAAAAGAGAUUCCUGCAUGAAAAACAAAGGAAGUAGCACUGCAGGGCUUCGCCGCUUCGCCUCUUUCUUGAUGUACUUCCUGUGUCUUCUCUCUAGCCUUUUCUGCUUCUCCUCCACCUCUGCUUCUGCUCCGCUCCCCCCUUUGUUGUAGAGAGCGUGCCUUUUUAUAGGCAACAAUGAAUCAGUUUGAGAUAGGAUAGCUACCAAUUCAAAUUCAAAUUGCAGUUAUAAUCACAUUUGUCAAUUUGAAAUGAAUAUAGCAGUAACCAGCUUUCUCGUUGAAGCUUCUGGUGGCUUUUGUGAAUUUCAAACUUCUUUUAUCUUGA